RNAcentral lists this long non-coding RNA (484 nucleotides) under Manihot esculenta (cassava). RNAcentral describes it as "long non-coding RNA (MESC_LNC007310)". The record is from RNAcentral. Lineage: Eukaryota; Viridiplantae; Streptophyta; Magnoliopsida; Malpighiales; Euphorbiaceae.
AGUCCAGGAAGACCCAUUCUACGUCCCUGGCAUCUUGGAAUGUUAUGUUAUGUUAUGUUAUGUAAGAGAAAGACCAGGACCCAUUCUACGUUCUGGCACUAAUGGAAAUGUAGAGGGCUAUUGGUGACAAAUUCAUCCUUGAUGUGAUUUGUUUGUGAUGUGUUGCAUUUUAUGAAAGCAUGAACUUUUAAUAUAAUGUUUUAUAUUCUGCUCACUGGGCUCUAGUAGCUCACCCCACUCCCUUAAUUCCCCAGGUUUGCAGGUACGGGAUAGACCAGGAGGUCAGCUAGAGUAAAGUUAUGGUCAUGUAAUAGCUAGUGGUGGACAUGAUAAAUGUUGAAAUGUAAUGAAUAGUAUUAAUCAAUUAUGUAAUGUAAUGGAUUGAUGUUUAUGAAAGUUUAGAGUUGUGCUUGACCAUAGUAUGAUGUUAAUCCCUUUCUAGUACAUGAUCUUAAAUGUUUAAUGAUGAUUAUUGUAAACCAAG